Molecule: long non-coding RNA, 1353 nt
Organism: Tympanuchus pallidicinctus (lesser prairie-chicken)
Lineage: Eukaryota; Metazoa; Chordata; Aves; Galliformes; Phasianidae
Exons: 5
Source: RefSeq, a predicted model, not a curated record
GUCACCGUUCCUCAUGGCAUCAGCUGUCACACCAUAGACUCCUUAGAGUCGGAAGAAACCAUUUGUGAUGAUCUAUUCCGACUCCCCACAAGGAACAGGGAUGUUCACAGCUAGAUCAGAGCCCUAUCCAACCUCACCUUGGAAGGGACAGGGCAUCCAGCACAUCUCUGGGCAACCUGUUCCACUGCCUCACCACCCUUACUGUAAAAGAUAUUUUCCUUACACCUAACCUAAAUUUUCCUUUGUUCUUUCCUUUUGCUCCAAUUUAAGUAUCAAACGGCUGUUACCAGGUCACCUUGGAGCCUUCACUUCUCCGUGCUGAACAGCCCCAGCUCUCUCAGCCUGUCUUUGGAGGAGAGCUGUUUGAUCCCUUGUUUUUUUUUGUUUUUUUUUUUUGUGGCCAUCCUCUGAUGUGAUCCAACAGGUCCAUGUCUCUUCUGCACUGAGGACUCUACAUUCUGACACAAUCUCUACAUGUGGGAUUGUGCAGAAUAUGGACUCAGAUAAUGGAAGCCUCUUUACUUCACAGGUCCUACAGGAGCUGAUGAGAACUUUAGAAAUAAAGUGGGAGCUCCAUACUCUGUGGCACCCUCCUUCUUCAGGGAAAGUAGAAUGAAUCAAUCAGAUGCUGAAGAAGCACUUGUCAAAAUUGGUUUCAGAGACCAAAUUACCAUGGACAAAGUGUUUGCCUGUAGCCCUUGUCAGAAUACAAACCACUCACAGAAAAGGCUUAGGAGUAUCACCACACGAAGUGCUGUUUGGGUUGCUGUACUUGGGAAUGGUGAGAUGCCCGCUCUUGAAACCAAGGUGCACUCAUCCCGUGUUGGAGACUGGUCCUAAUACGCGCCUGGCAGAAAUCAAGGCUUCAGCCUGAGUGGGAUGGAAUGGACCAUUUCAGCGAUGCAGUGUUUCAGAAGGGAGAAAAACACGGCGAGCAUCAACUGGAUUUCUGUGGUUGGUGAAGCUGUGCUGAGAACUGGGAUGGCUGCUGCCCCUGGAAAUGUGUCUGCAGACUCUGCACCCAGAGGAAUGACUUUUCCCUGCAGGUUGGGCUUGUCUAAGGUGAUUUUUUCACAAGGAAAGAUUUGAAAUGCUGUUUGCUAAUGGAAGAUGGAGAGAGGAAAAUCAAGUCAAAGGCACACUGUGCACAGCCAGCACAUAGCAUCUGCACCGCUCUCCCCCUGCACAAAGGAGGAGCAGCUCAGCAAGCUUGGCCUGGGCCAGGAAGGCAGCACACAAACAUCUGGACCAACCCCAACGGAGCUCCUUCUGCAGGAAUCCAUGUGGGUUUUUUAAUGAAGAACAGACUCAUUGUGCAGCUUGCGAGUGAAUUCAUUCACGCAUGUUAAUUGG